AAGAAAUCGUAGCCGGCGUGUCGCUUAUGCUGUAAAAAAACGGGGCUUAUUACCGGUUCAGCAGUCGAUACAGGCAUGCUAGAGGUAGGUAGGAGAGACAGGAAUUAUUGGUGUAGCGGUGAAAUAAGCAGAAAUCAUGAGGAACACCGGUGGGGAAGGACUGGUCUCUGGUCGUUACCUGACGCUGAGGAGGGAAAGCAGGGGGAGGCAACAGCAUUAUAUAACCUCGUAGUCCAUCCCGUAAACGUUGGGUGAUAGGUGUGGGUACUUUGCUCGGUUUCCUUUCCGUAGCUAGCAGCAUUCGCCCCGCCUUGGGGAGUACGGCCGCAAGGCUAAAACUCAAAGGAAUUGACGGGGGGGGCACAAGCGGCGGAGCAUGUUGCUUAAUUCGUCGCAACGCGAAGAACCUUACCAACGUUUGACAUCACCCGUGGACUCGCAGAGAUGUGAGGUCAUUUAGUUGGCGGGUGACAGGUG
Molecule: ribosomal RNA, 477 nt
Filed under: Nocardiopsis sp.
Lineage: Bacteria; Bacillati; Actinomycetota; Actinomycetes; Streptosporangiales; Nocardiopsidaceae
Description: bacterial SSU rRNA
Rfam family: Bacterial small subunit ribosomal RNA
Source: RNAcentral